This 492-nucleotide ribosomal RNA is filed under the name uncultured bacterium. RNAcentral describes it as "partial 16S ribosomal RNA". It matches the Rfam family "Bacterial small subunit ribosomal RNA", at positions 29 to 507 of the family's 1533-position model. The record is from RNAcentral.
AGUGAACGCUGGCGGUAGGCCUAACACAUGCAAGUCGAACGGCAGCACAGUAAGAGCUUGCUCUUACGGGUGGCGAGUGGCGGACGGGUGAGGAAUACAUCGGAAUCUACUUUUUCGGGGGGGAUAACGUAGGGAAACUUACGCUAAUACCGCAUACGACCUACGGGUGAAAGCAGGGGAUCUUCGGACCUUGCGCGGUUGGAUGAGCCGAUGUCGGAUUAGCUAGUUGGCGGGGUAAAGGCCCACCAAGGCGACGAUCCGUAGCUGGUCUGAGAGGAUGAUCGGCCACACUGGAACUGAGACACGGUCCAGACUCCUACGGGAGGCAGCAGUGGGGAAUAUUGGACAAUGGGCGCAAGCCUGAUCCAGCCAUACCGCGUGGGUGAAGAAGGCCUUCGGGUUGUAAAGCCCUUUUGUUGGGAAAGAAAAGCAGCAGGUUAAUACCCCGCUGUUCUGACGGUACCCAAAGAAUAAGCACCGGCUAACUUCGUG